AGAGUUUGAUCAUGGCUCAGGACGAACGCUGGCGGCGUGCUUAACACAUGCAAGUCGAGCGGUAAGGCUCCUUCGGGAGUACACGAGCGGCGAACGGGUGAGUAACACGUGAGCAAUCUGCCCUUCACUUCGGGAUAACUCCGGGAAACCGGUGCUAAUACCGAAUACGACCACCGACGACAUCGUCAGUGGUGGAAAGUUCCGGCGGUGAAGGAUGAGCUCGCGGUCUAUCAGCUUGUUGGUGGGGUAACGGCCUACCAAGGCGACGACGGAUAGCUGGUCUGAGAGGAUGGUCAGCCACAUUGGAACUGAGAUACUGUCCAGACUCCUACGGGAGGCUGCGGUCGAGAAUCUUGGGCAAUGCACGAAAGUGUGACCCAGCGACGCCGCGUGAUGGAUGAAGGCCCUCUGGGUCGUAAACAUCUUUUAUGGGGAAAGAAUAAAUGACGGUACCCCAUGAAUAAGCCACGGCUAACUACGUGCCAGCAGCCGCGGUAAUACGUAGGUGGCAAGCGUUGUCCGGAUUUACUGGGCGUAAAGGGUAUGCAGGCGGAUACUUAAGUAGGAAGUGAAAGGUUGGAGCUCAACUCCAACACUGCUUCCUAUACUGGGUGUCUUGAGUGGCGGAGAGGAAGAUGGAACAAAUCGUGUAGCGGUGAAAUGCGUAGAUAUGAUUUGGAACACCAAUGGCGAAAGCAAUCUUCUGGACGCAAACUGACGCUGAGAUACGAAAGCUAUGGUAGCGAACCGGAUUAGAUACCCCCGUAGUCC
Molecule: ribosomal RNA, 771 nt
Filed under: uncultured bacterium
Lineage: Bacteria
Description: bacterial SSU rRNA
Rfam family: Bacterial small subunit ribosomal RNA
Source: RNAcentral